AACAUAACCUUUAGCCAAACAAAUAUUAAAGGCAACGCCUGCCCAGUGAACAAUUAAACGGCCGCGGUAUCCUAACCGUGCAAAGGUAGCAUAAUCAUUUGUCUAUUAAUUGUAGACCCGUAUGAAAGGCAAAAUGAGAGCCUAACUGUCUCUUAUAACAAAUCAAUUAAACUGAUCUCCCAGUACAAAAGCUGGGAUACCCACAUAAGACCAGAAGACCCUGUGAAGCUUUAACUAACCUAUUAAACCACAUAAUAGCUAGUUUCGGUUGGGGCGACCUUGGAAUAAAAAAGAACUUCCAAAAAAUAUGACCUUCUCAUAUAAAAGGCAGACAGGCCACAAUUAGACCCAGAACUUCUGAUACAUGAACCAAGUUACUCCAGGGAUAACAGCGCUAUCUUCUUUAAGAGCCCAUAUCAAAAAGAAGGUUUACGACCUCGAUGUUGGAUCAGGACAUCCUAGUAAUGCAACAGUUACUAAGGGUUCGUUUGUUCAACGAUUAAUAGUCCUACGUGA
Molecule: ribosomal RNA, 516 nt
Filed under: Bitis arietans (puff adder)
Lineage: Eukaryota; Metazoa; Chordata; Lepidosauria; Squamata; Viperidae
Description: partial 16S ribosomal RNA
Rfam family: Bacterial large subunit ribosomal RNA
Source: RNAcentral